Molecule: ribosomal RNA, 446 nt
Filed under: uncultured bacterium
Lineage: Bacteria
Description: partial 16S ribosomal RNA
Rfam family: Bacterial small subunit ribosomal RNA
Source: RNAcentral
CCUACGGGUGGCAGCAGUCGAGAAUCAUUCACAAUGGGGGAAACCCUGAUGGUGCGACGCCGCGUGGGGGAAUGAAGGUCUUCGGAUUGUAAACCCCUGUCAUGUGGGAGCAAAUUAAAAAGAUAGUACCACAAGAGGAAGAGACGGCUAACUCUGUGCCAGCAGCCGCGGUAAUACAGAGGUCUCAAGCGUUGUUCGGAAUCCCUGGGGGUAAAGCGUGCGUAGGCUGUUUCGUAAGUCGUGUGUGAAAGGCGCGGGCUCAACCCGCGGACGGCACAUGAUACUGAGAGACUAGAGUAAGGGAGGGGGAACCGGAAUGCUCGGUGUAGCAGUGAAAUGCGUAGAUAUCGAGAGGAACACUCGUGGCGAAGGCGGGUUCCUGGACAUUAACUGACGCUGAGGCACGAAGGCCAGGGGAGCGAAAGGGAUUAGAUACCCCAGUAGUC